UGGGGGAAUAUUGCACAAUGGGGGGAAACCCUGAUGCAGCAACGCCGCGUGAGCGAAGAAGUAUUUCGGUAUGUAAAGCUCUAUCAGCAGGGAAGAAAAUGACGGUACCUGAAGAAUAAGCACCGGCUAACUACGUGCCAGCAGCCGCGGUAAUACGUAGGGUGCAAGCGUUAAUCGGAAUUACUGGGCGUAAAGCGUGCGCAGGCGGUUGGGUAAGACAGAUGUGAAAUCCCCGGGCUUAACCUGGGAACUGCAUUUGUGACUGCUCGACUGGAGUAUGUCAGAGGGGGGUGGAAUUCCAAGUGUAGCAGUGAAAUGCGUAGAUAUUUGGAAGAACACCGAUGGCGAAGGCAGCCCCCUGGGGCAAAGCUGACGCUCAUGCACGAAAGCGUGGGGAGCAAACAGGAUUAGAUACCCUGGUAGU
RNAcentral lists this ribosomal RNA (424 nucleotides) under uncultured Sutterellaceae bacterium. RNAcentral's name for it is "bacterial SSU rRNA". It matches the Rfam family "Bacterial small subunit ribosomal RNA", at positions 354 to 794 of the family's 1533-position model. Lineage: Bacteria; Pseudomonadati; Pseudomonadota; Betaproteobacteria; Burkholderiales; Sutterellaceae. The record is from RNAcentral.